This 440-nucleotide ribosomal RNA is filed under the name uncultured bacterium. RNAcentral describes it as "partial 16S ribosomal RNA". It matches the Rfam family "Bacterial small subunit ribosomal RNA", at positions 338 to 795 of the family's 1533-position model. The record is from RNAcentral.
CCUACGGGAGGCAGCAGUGGGGAAUAUUGGACAAUGGGCGAAACCCUGAUCCAGCGACGCCGCGUGAGUGAAGAAGUCUUUCGGUACGUAAAGCUCUAUCAGCAGGAAAGAAAAUGACGUGACCUGACUCAGCAGCCCUGGCUAACUCCGGGCCAGGAGCCGCGGUAAUACGGAGGGGGCAAGCGUUCGCCGGAGUUACGGGGGGUAAAGGGAACGUAGACGGCAGGGUAAGUCUGGAGUGAAAUGCCUGGGCCCAACCGCGGAACUGCUCUUGAAACUGGGAAGCUGGAGUGCAGGAGAGGUAAGCAGAAUUCCUGGUGUAGCGGUGAAAUGCGUAGAUAUCAGGAGGAAUACCGGCGGCGAAGGCGGCUUACUGGACUGUAACUGACGUUGAGGCUCGAAGGCGUGGGGAGCAAACAGGAUUAGAUACCCGGGUAGUC